GGCCCGUUCGUCUAGCGGUUAGGACGCCGGCCUCUCACGCCGGUAACAGGGGUUCGAUUCCCCUACGGGCUA
This 72-nucleotide transfer RNA is filed under the name Fidelibacterota bacterium. RNAcentral describes it as "Candidatus Marinimicrobia bacterium tRNA-Glu". It matches the Rfam family "tRNA". Rfam says of the family: Transfer RNA (tRNA) molecules are approximately 80 nucleotides in length. The record is from RNAcentral. Lineage: Bacteria; Pseudomonadati; Fidelibacterota.